This is a non-coding RNA of Leptonychotes weddellii (Weddell seal), 656 nucleotides long. The record is from RefSeq and is a predicted model, not a curated record. Lineage: Eukaryota; Metazoa; Chordata; Mammalia; Carnivora; Phocidae.
CAGAUUUUUUUUCGUCCAGUUACAGGUGGGCGUUUGUUCCAGAAGUGGACACAGAGGGCCCUGCCUUCCUGUCAGAUCUAGAGGAGAAUCACCAAGAAUGCAAACCCCACACCGUUAGGAUUCUCGAACUUCUAAAAUUAAAAUAUGGGGAAAUUGGCAGCUCUGAUGAGAUCACCAUGAAGAAUGAAUUCCCCCUUCUGCGCCAACAUUCUGUUUCCAGCAUCAGGCAACUGAAGCCAUUCUUCCAGACUCUAAAUUGUGCUUUUAAAACCCAGAGUAAACUGACUGCCGAUACCCGAGGACCUCCAGUCUUGGAGUUUCCUGUCACAGAUAGCCCAAGGGUCUUGAAACAACUAGAAGAAUGUGUUGAAUAUGAUUUUUUGGAACAUCUGGAAUCUUAACCACAUAAGACAGAAUUUCAGAAUAUAUCCUGAAAGCCAGGAUAUAUUCUAAACAAGAAAGGAGCCAGGAUAGUGCUUUUAAAUAAGUCUUUUUCCAUUUUUCAAGGUCGAUUUCAGAUAAUUUUCUGUUGGGCAACAAAACACACCUCCCUAAAUGCCUUGUAAUAUAUUUGGAUCUGAUUGUAUGUUUCUUCCUCAAUUUAUGUAAAGAAAAUAAAAUUAAUAUAUCAUCUAAUGCUAGCACAAAAUGUGUAA